RNAcentral lists this long non-coding RNA (813 nucleotides) under Mus pahari (shrew mouse). RNAcentral describes it as "lncRNA (MGP_PahariEiJ_G0002497.1)". The record is from RNAcentral. Lineage: Eukaryota; Metazoa; Chordata; Mammalia; Rodentia; Muridae.
GGAGAGGAUGUAGAGGAGGAGGAGGAAGAAGAAAAGUGGAGGAGAAGCACAUGGGGCGUGUGCACAUGUGGGAAGCACAUUCCCCGAGCCGUCUCCCCGGCCAGCAUGGACUCCCCAGGAUGUCUGCUCCAAGGACGAAGGUGUAGACUGAGCUGGUCGGACCAGCGCCUGGAGUCGUCAGAGCCGCUGUCGGUACACCACGUGGCAGUGGCCCUGCAGGAGGCUGCCCGCGGCCUGUGGCUGGUGCUGCUGGGCUGGCUCGACGUGUCCUUGGGAUCCUGGCUGACACUGGCCUCUUCUGUUUCAGAAUCACUGCUGUCUUCAUCUUGGACUUGCUGCCCUGGCUCCCUACCGCCUCCAAACAUCUCUCAAAGGAAGGAUCCCUGGGGAAAGGUGUGAGCAAGUGGAACCGAAAGCUGCUGAGGGACAGCUUUGGUCUGCAGUGAGCCAGGCUGCCCUCAGUCUCAUCCCCAGCACACAGUCCUUCUCCGCGUACUGGCCACAGUGUGCAUGCACGCGGGAGACGGCACUCGCUGUCUCAACGCCCUGAGUCCUGCCCUUCUUCCACCCCCUAAUCUCAUCUGCUUUAGUCAUUCACUGAAUAAAGGCGAUUCAUUUCAGGGGACUCCAUCAUCCAUGCCUUGGAUAAAGCAGGUGACCUCUAACAGUUACUGAUUCAAAUUUUCUGAAUUUUACCUUCUUCCUACCAACACUUCAGAUAACCUCUUCUGAAGCUACAAUUGUGCCUCCCGGCAGGGGGAUUUGUGAGGAUUUACAUCGUCAACACAGUACAACAUUAAAAUGUGCUGCCUA